UACGGAAGGCAGCAGUGGGGAAUAUUGCACAAUGGGCGCAAGCCUGAUGCAGCCAUGCCGCGUGUAUGAAGAAGGCCUUCGGGUUGUAAAGUACUUUCAGUCGUGAGGAAGGUGUUAAGGUUAAUAACCUUAGCAAUUGACGUUAGCGACAGAAGAAGCACCGGCUAACUCCGUGCCAGCAGCCGCGGUAAUACGGAGGGUGCGAGCGUUAAUCGGAAUUACUGGGCGUAAAGGGCACGCAGGCGGUUAAUUAAGUUGGAUGUGAAAUCCCCGGGCUUAACCUGGGAAUGGCAUUCAAGACUGGUUAGCUAGAGUCUUGUAGAGGGGGUAGAAUUCCAUGUGUAGCGGUGAAAUGCGUAGAGAUGUGGAGGAAUACCGGUGGCGAAGGCGGCCCCUGGGACAAAGACUGACGCUCAUGUGCGGAAGCGUGGGGAGCGAAACAGGAUUAGAUACC
RNAcentral lists this ribosomal RNA (454 nucleotides) under uncultured bacterium. RNAcentral describes it as "bacterial SSU rRNA". It matches the Rfam family "Bacterial small subunit ribosomal RNA", at positions 340 to 786 of the family's 1533-position model. The record is from RNAcentral.